RNAcentral lists this ribosomal RNA (769 nucleotides) under Escherichia coli. RNAcentral describes it as "partial 23S ribosomal RNA". It matches the Rfam family "Bacterial large subunit ribosomal RNA", at positions 421 to 1191 of the family's 2925-position model. Lineage: Bacteria; Pseudomonadati; Pseudomonadota; Gammaproteobacteria; Enterobacterales; Enterobacteriaceae. The record is from RNAcentral.
GACACGUGGUAUCCUGUCUGAAUAUGGGGGGACCAUCCUCCAAGGCUAAAUACUCCUGACUGACCGAUAGUGAACCAGUACCGUGAGGGAAAGGCGAAAAGAACCCCGGCGAGGGGAGUGAAAAAGAACCUGAAACCGUGUACGUACAAGCAGUGGGAGCACGCUUAGGCGUGUGACUGCGUACCUUUUGUAUAAUGGGUCAGCGACUUAUAUUCUGUAGCAAGGUUAACCGAAUAGGGGAGCCGAAGGGAAACCGAGUCUUAACUGGGCGUUAAGUUGCAGGGUAUAGACCCGAAACCCGGUGAUCUAGCCAUGGGCAGGUUGAAGGUUGGGUAACACUAACUGGAGGACCGAACCGACUAAUGUUGAAAAAUUAGCGGAUGACUUGUGGCUGGGGGUGAAAGGCCAAUCAAACCGGGAGAUAGCUGGUUCUCCCCGAAAGCUAUUUAGGUAGCGCCUCGUGAAUUCAUCUCCGGGGGUAGAGCACUGUUUCGGCAAGGGGGUCAUCCCGACUUACCAACCCGAUGCAAACUGCGAAUACCGGAGAAUGUUAUCACGGGAGACACACGGCGGGUGCUAACGUCCGUCGUGAAGAGGGAAACAACCCAGACCGCCAGCUAAGGUCCCAAAGUCAUGGUUAAGUGGGAAACGAUGUGGGAAGGCCCAGACAGCCAGGAUGUUGGCUUAGAAGCAGCCAUCAUUUAAAGAAAGCGUAAUAGCUCACUGGUCGAGUCGGCCUGCGCGGAAGAUGUAACGGGGCUAAACCAUG